UUUCGGGUUCUUGAUAACAGU
RNAcentral lists this non-coding RNA (21 nucleotides) under Rattus norvegicus (Norway rat). The record is from RNAcentral. Lineage: Eukaryota; Metazoa; Chordata; Mammalia; Rodentia; Muridae.